Triticum aestivum (bread wheat) is the source of this 142-nucleotide non-coding RNA. Lineage: Eukaryota; Viridiplantae; Streptophyta; Magnoliopsida; Poales; Poaceae. The record is from Rfam.
UGUGUACUCCCUCCGUUCCGAAAUACUUGACUUCCAUUUGUCCAAAAAUGGAUGUACCUAUAUACUAAAACAUGUCUAGAUACUGAUAGAUCUAUAUUUUGAGAAAUAGAAGGCAUGUAUUGUGGAACGGAGGGAGUAGAAU